AGGGACUUAGGCUAAACUUAAACCGGCGGCCUUCAAAGCCGCAAACAAGAGUUUGAACCUCUUAGACCCUG
This 71-nucleotide transfer RNA is filed under the name Tropidophorus hainanus. RNAcentral's name for it is "tRNA-Trp". It matches the Rfam family "tRNA". From Rfam's summary of the family: Transfer RNA (tRNA) molecules are approximately 80 nucleotides in length. Their secondary structure includes four short double-helical elements and three loops (D, anti-codon, and T loops). Further hydrogen bonds mediate the characteristic L-shaped molecular structure. tRNAs have two regions of fundamental functional importance: the anti-codon, which is responsible for specific mRNA codon recognition, and the 3' end, to which the tRNAs corresponding amino acid is attached (by aminoacyl-tRNA synthetases). tRNAs cope with the degeneracy of the genetic code in two manners: having more than one tRNA (with a specific anti-codon) for a particular amino acid; and 'wobble' base-pairing, i.e. permitting non-standard base-pairing at the 3rd anti-codon position. The record is from RNAcentral. Lineage: Eukaryota; Metazoa; Chordata; Lepidosauria; Squamata; Scincidae.